CUCCCAGCGCGCCUGGCGCGGCUGCGCGACGCGGAUCGUCGUGCCCGCGCUCUCGCGCACGUACGUGUGCCAGCGCUGGCCGCCGGCGUCGAGCGUCACGAAGCCGGCCGCGGCGGGCGGCGGCAGUUGCGUGGCCGGGUCGGUCGUGAACUCGAGCUUGCCGCCGCGCCACACCUGCAGCAGCACGUCGUCGGAAUCGUAGUCGGCCGGAUGGCGCUUGGCGAGCCUGUCACGUCCCUCGAUCGACAGCUUGCCGGCGUCGUCGACCUGAAUCUGCUUCGACAUGCUGCGCAUCUGGUCGUCGAGCAGAUCGUCGAGCUCGCGCAGCGCGCCCCAAUAGGUGCCCGUGCUCGCGAGCACGCCGACGACGCACGCGGCGGGCAGCAGCCACAUCAGCAGCCGCCCGCGCAGCGACGCGUUCAGGCGCCGCGCGAAUCCGCGCGCGCCCGUCAUGCGCCGUCUCCGAUCCGGUAGCCGACGCCGCGCACCGUGAGGAUCGUGUCGUGGCCGAGCUUCUUGCGCAGGUUGUGGAUAUGCACCUGCACCGCGUUGCUCUCGAUUUCCUCGCCCCAGCUGUACAGCCGCUCCUCGAACUGCUCGCGCGAGAUCACCGCGCCCGGCUCGCGCAUCAGCUCGUGCAGCAGCACGAAUUCCUUCGGCGACAGCGCGACUUCCUCGUCGCCGCGCCACACCUGAUGGCGCGCCGGAUCGAGCCGCAGCGCGCCGACCGCGAGCACCGUCUGCGCGCGGCCGGCCUGGCGGCGGUUCACCGCGCGGAUGCGCGCGAGCAGUUCCUCGAGCGCGAACGGCUUGACGAGGUAAUCGUCCGCGCCGCAAUCGAGGCCCGCGAUCCGGUCGGGCAGCGCGUCGCGCGCGGUGACGACGAUCACGGGCAGCGCGUCGUCGCGGCGGCGCAGCGCGGCGAGCACCGCGAGGCCGUCCUUGUCCGGCAGGCCGAGGUCGAGCAGCAGCAGGCCGUACGACGUCGUGCGCAGCGCGAGCGUCGCCGCGUCGGCGUUCUGCGCCCAGUCCACCGCGAAGCCUUCCUGUUUCAGCCCCUGUUCGAGCCCGCUGCCGAUGAGCGGAUCGUCUUCGACAAGCAAUACGCGCAUGUUCGGUGAUUCCGUCUGAAUGCGGCGCGCGCAUGCGGGCCGCUGGCGGCAAUGAUAAGCGGUGGAUGCUUAGCGGCGGCUUAAAGUGGCGCGGCGUCGGCGCCGUCGCCGGCGAGGGAGCGGGUGAUACCAUGUCCGAUCGACUUUCCGAGCGAUCACGAUGCCCGCCGAUUUCGACGAACUCGCGUCCCUGAUUCGGGCGCAAUUUUCCGAGCUGAGCCCGCAAUUCCAGGUGGGCGCGGCGUUCCUGCUCGAUCAUCCCGACGAGGUGGCCGUGUCGUCGAUGCGCAAGGUCGCGCAGCGCGCGAAUGUGCAGCCGGCCUCGCUCGUGCGGCUCGCGCAGCAGUUCGGCUUUCCGGGCUGGAACGAACUGCGCGACCUGUUCGUCGCGCGCGUGCGCACGCGGCCGCAGCCGCUCACGCAGCGCGCGCGCUCGCUCGUGAAGCCGAAUGCGAAGGCGUCGCUCGCGGCCGAUCUGCUCGCCGCGCAGCGGCACAACCUCGAGGCGAGCGCCGCGCAGAACGCGCGGGCGCUCGCCGAGGCGGCGAAGCUGAUCCGCAAGGCCGCGCACGUGCAUGUCGCGGGCUUCCGCUCGUGCUACCCGGUCGCGUUCGGGUUCGUCUACGGCUAUCGGCUGUUCCGGCCGACGGUGUCGCUGCUCACGGGCGUCGCGGGCUCGCUCGACAUGGAGCUGCGCACGAUCGCGAAGAACAGCGUGACCGUGGUCGUCAGCUUCGCGCCGUAUUCGGCCGAAGCGACGCGCGUCGCGCAGGCGGCGCGCGCGCAGGGCGGCAGGAUCGUCGCGAUCACCGACAGCGCGGUGUCGCCGAUCGCGCUGCACGCGGAUGCGCAACUGAUCUUCACGCACGACAGCCCGUCGUUCUUCCCGUCGCUCGUCGCCGCGCAUGCGCUCGUGGAGACGCUCGUCGCACAACUGCUCGCGCUCGAGGGCGGCGAGGCGAUCGCGGCGCUCGAGCAGGCCGAGGCCGAAUUGCACGCGAAGGGCGCCUACGUCGUCUGACAUGCCGCCGCGUACUCGCGGCAUGCGAAAAGCCUUUCGCCUCGCCCUAUCCGGCGCGCAUGGAUUUCCUGCGGCGAAUUUGAAUAUUAAAUCGCUCCACAAUUGGAAACGUUUCCACGCAUCAGUGCGCCGAAUUAGCGCCGGCCCCAUUUGCUGCGGCGCAAAUGGAUUACGCCGGGAAGCCGCUUCGGAGGCCGUUUCGCACGCUCUUCGGGCGGCCAAAGGGCCGUAACGAUGCGGCGACUUAUUAACUCGAGUCGGAAAAAAAUUUUAAUGGCGACUUGCCGGUUAUUCAGACGAUUGCUAAUCUGCGGGAGAUGAACAAAUAGCCGGAUCGAAGAUCCGGAAAAAUGAAUAAAUAAAUUAUUUCCGAGAAAAGGCCACCAUGACGACUUACCGUGAUACGCAUACCACUUCGUUCCGGAUCGGCGAUGUCGUGACGCUCAAGACAGGCGGUCCGCGAAUGACGGUGACGUAUGCCGGCCCUGUCGUGUUCGACACGGGCGAAUGGGUGAUCUGCCAAUGGUUCGACGAGAACGGCGAGUUCCGUCAAGAGAUGUUUCCGAACGAGACCGUCGUGCUCGAGCCGCGGACGAUUUCGGCGGGACUCGCGCGGAUGCGCUCGCUGUCGGUGCGCGGCGGCAUGCAGGCGUGACGCCGCGCAUGCGCCGGGCGUAAAGAAUUUGUCAGGAAGACGGCGGGCGUGUGACCGCCGAACGAUGCGCCGCGGCGCCGAAAGGGCGCGCGGC
RNAcentral lists this ribosomal RNA (2882 nucleotides) under Burkholderia mallei FMH. RNAcentral describes it as "23S ribosomal RNA". Lineage: Bacteria; Pseudomonadati; Pseudomonadota; Betaproteobacteria; Burkholderiales; Burkholderiaceae. The record is from RNAcentral.